Apis dorsata (giant honeybee) is the source of this 934-nucleotide long non-coding RNA. RefSeq lists it as uncharacterized. Lineage: Eukaryota; Metazoa; Arthropoda; Insecta; Hymenoptera; Apidae. The transcript has 2 exons. The record is from RefSeq and is a predicted model, not a curated record.
GGGACCCCCGCCACCUGCUGUUAAUCGAUAGCGUGUUCCGCUAGUGGGGGAGGAGGGAGUGUAGUGGGGCUGUCCGGCUGCAUUGCUCGCAUUGAGAACUUGAUUCCUUAUCGAUUUUUCACGAGUGAACUCGAAAUUUCGAAUAAAAUUCCGAUUUUUGUUUUUUUUCUUUUUUUUUUUUAUUUUGUUUUGUUUUCGAUUUUCGUCAGACACGAGGACGAUCGCUUUUUUUCUUUCUCUUUUUUGGGAGAGGGAGGGGGAUUAUUACGUUAAGUUUUUUUUUUUUUUUUUUUUUUUUUAGAUUAGAAUUGCGUUAGAAUUUUUUUUAGAUUAGAAACGUAAAAUAACGAACGAACGAACGUUAAAGACGAUUACUCGUUUGAUUUAUAGUCGCGCUGUAUUCUCGAUAGUAACACGACCGAUAGCUCGUUACGUUGAUUUUGCAAUCGUAAAUAUAAUGAAUAAAUUUGAAUUAAACGAAUUCGUAAUAACGAACAAUCUCGACGCGUUCAACGUUAUUCACGAUGAAAUAAUUAUAAUUUAAUGCGAUCACCUAUCGUGAAAAAGUAAUCGUUUUAAAUUUUUAUAUUCGUUCUUUAUUUAACGUUAUACCGUCUCUGUAAAAAAUAGCAUAGUUGCAUCAAUUUUAAAGAUAAGAGGAUUCGACUGACGAUCGACGUUACGUAAUCUUCUUACGUAACGAUGCGUUUCUAAUAAAUUUCUGUUUUAUGUUAAAUUUAACGCGUCGAUAAAACGAAUAAAAUUUUAAGACUGUAUAAGAACAAAAAAAAUUUAUUUCGACGAUACGUUUCAUUGUUUAUCUGUAUUCGUUAUCCAUAGAUUAUUGGAUUUUACACUUUAUAUAUUUAUAUUUAUAAAUAUUCUGUCUGAAUUAUGAUGCAAUGAAAAUAAGAGGGAUUAUUUGUUCUUUAAA